UACUAUUAUUUCAAAAGAAACGAUAAAUACUAAAAAUGAAUAGAUAUUAUAUCUAUUUCGAAUAUUUCAAACCAUGCUUUUGAAAAAUAAUUGCUAAAUUGAUAAAAGCGACGUGAACAAAAGGAAUCGAAUACAAUAGUUUCGAAAUUUAUAAAGAAGAUAUUGUCAUCUAGUGUUUCAUCUUUUUUCUUAAUUUAUGACUGGAAUUCUUUGAAAAAAAAUCAAUUUACUGUUUCACUUUAUAUUUUAGGAAGUUAUAAAAUCAUUCAGAAUAAAUAUUAAUUAAUAUUUCAAGUCAGAAAUCAAUCAAAUAUAUAACAUGAUCGAUGAUUGAUUGUUAUGUUUGUAAAAAUUUAUAUCGAAAAGUACAAACAUCAAAAAUAAAUCAAAUUACAAUUGAUUUACAUUGCUCAGUACAUUGUAUAUACAUGAUUGAUAUUGUUUGACAAACUCAUGUUGAAAGUUAUUUUACAGUCUGAUUUUGAAACAAACAAUUUAUUAAUGUAUCUGUUUUAAAUCUAUAACAUCAUUUAAAACUAUUAAAUAAAAAAUAAAUAGCAUGGAGAAACUACAUUCAUAAAACUAUAUUCCGAGAUAAAUAUCAAGGAAGAAAGAGGAGAAACGCCACUUCGAAAAUUGAGAAACGGAAGUCGUGAGCCACAAUCAUAGGAAGAUAUCUGUUCCUCACUUUUGUCGAGAACUUCGCCGACAGUUUGGAGUAGUUGAAAACGAAUGAAACAGGGACGCUCGUGUAAAUUUAUGGAAAAUCUUUCUUCCCCCGGUGCGUUUUCCAUCCGGCGACGGAUACGUUUCUCUUCCAAACAAACUUCGCCUUGCGUCGAACGGAAUUUCACGUUUCAAUUCUUACGACUUUAGAACUUUUACGACAACGAGUCCCAGGAAAACGAAAAAGGUAUUUCUUUCAAAUCGAUUAUUUGCAACUACAAACCAAAAACUAACUACGUGUAUCGAUUAUAUCCAAACAACCAGUCGCAGAAUAAAUUCAAUGGAAGGGCCAAAAGUGGUUAAGACAGACGUUUAAUUGUUCUCGUUAAAUAGUUUGAGAAACAGGCGAACAGGUGAUCGAAAUUCGAGGAUUGAAUCGCGUUUAAACAGGAAUUCUCUGUUUACGGAACGUGAACUGAAGACGGUCGUUGCACCUACUGCGACGCAAACUCUAGAAUAAAUCCGGAAGAGCGCUCAAGAUUGAGAGGGAAGAGGAAAGAGAGAGAGGGAGAGGGAGAGGAGGGAGGGGGGGAAGGAAAGGGUGUGCAAAAAGAGCGGAACUAAAACUUCACGGGACUGAGUUGUCUAGGGGGUAGUAUGUAAAAUCGCAAAUGGAUUCUCUUUCGAGUCUCGCGAACUUUUGAAAGAGUAAAUACGGGCUUACGGCUACCCUCGCCCAUCUCGUUUCAGAAAACGCGUUACUUCUUUUGUCUUUCGCUCGCGCACUCGACACUUUUUACCCUGCGCUACCUAAAAAACCUACCUUCGAAUUUGGACGGGCGAGUUUGUAUUUGGACCACUUGGAUCGUUUGUUUCGUUUGUUGCGACAUAAUGCACGUGCUUUGCAUUUCACGUUCACGCUAUUAGUCCACGUUCACGGAGGCGUUUUGCGUUUCUUUUCAUUUUCGACGCCCGUAACAACAACAAAACGUGGCUAUCGCUCUUGUAAAUUUUUCGAAUGCAUUUACUUUUGUGGAAAGGAAAAGAGAGAGAAACGUCUCGUCUUGAACAAUGUGGAAUUAGUAGGAACAUUCGUUGGUAAUCGAAAAAGCUUGCCAUGUUUCUGCUAGAUUAAAUAUACGUACUUUUUUACGUGCAUCGAGGAAAAGACUCGUUUCAUCGAGACAAUCUCGAGGUUCUUGGAGAUCUUUGAAAAAAAUUUUUUAUCGGUAAAAAUGUUGAUUUAGAAAUAUUUGCUAUUUAAAGUGAAUCACGUGUUAUUUAUUUCAUACAGUUGUUUUAAUCUAUUGAUUUCUAUUAAUUUUAUUAAAUAUAUAGGAAACAAUUAUAUUUUAUUUUAAUUAUCAAACAUAAAUACGUUAAAAGGAUUUAUAUAUAGGAUAAGGAUAGAAUAAGAAAAAGAAAAAAAAAGAAUAUUUCAUGACGAUGAGAUUUGACACGUAUGAAAUUAAUUACAGAAUCUUUCACGGUUAAUCUUGAUCGAUAAUACUUCUAUUUGCACGUACAUCGGCUUAAACCUCUAUGGUAUGGUAAUUCUUUAAAUUGCGACAGCAUAAUUAAGUCGUGUCAUAUUACCUGCUUGUUAUGCUAAUCUGAAAAUAGAAUGAACGAAAGAGGGUUACUGGCAGGGUCGUUGUACCCAGGAUUUUCUCCGAUUUCUUUUAAGACGUUUGUAGUACGUGAGAUACCUUUGAAAUAAAAAUCCUCUGAACUAAAGUGCAGCGCCUUCCUUUAAGGCAGUCACGCACUUUGGUGCAAAGGUCAAUAUUAUAUUUUUUUUUUUUUCUUAUUUCAAAACAUAAUGGGAAUUGCCUAUGUAACAAAAAAUAUAUAUAUAUAUAUUGUUGACAAAAAUUUACAUUUGGUGUAAGAUAAUCAGUAUAAGAGAUGAAAUUUAAGAUAUUUAAAAAAAUAUUAUAUACAGAGAUUCUUCAUUAUGCGACAUUAUAUUAAAUUUAAAGAUUUAGAGAAAGUAUAAAGGAAAAGAGAUAAGAGAUGAUUAAUGAACAUUCAUACGGGUGAUUAGAAAACAAAUGACGAAAAAUAUGACAAAAUGCCAUUUCAUGAUUUAAUUACCCGGUGCCAUUACAGCAGACGCGUCGUGAAAUAUUUUCAAGCAGCAGAAACAAUAGCUGGGGACCCAAUUACCAGAGUUCGUGUUGCGUCGAGAGUGCUCAGACAGGCGUUUCCUCAAGGCUUCUCCUUCGCCGACUACCUACCCUACCGACGCAUGUAAGAGCAAUAUGUGUAUGCCAGUUAAGUUUCGCACGCUCUCGACAUCACCAAUAUAUCUAUAGGGUGUUCGGAUAAAAUACGUAGAAAAUUUAAAGAAAUUAGUCCAAAUAUAAAAGUUGUUCCAUAUUCAAUUGAAUAUAUUAUAAUCAUUGUCGUUAUCAAAUUUAAAAAUAUUCGAAGUCAUGUAAAUAGAAGGUAAUUAAGAAAAAUAAAUUAUGAAAGAAUAUUCAUGUUGUUUCAUUUGGCAAAAGUAAUUCUAUUCAUCUUAAUUUACAUGGAAAAUAAUAAAAAAAAAAAACGUAUAAAGUGACAUAUAAAUGGAAAUUAUGAAAGAAAAAAGUUAAACAGUUUGAAAGAAAAGAAAAAAAUUAAAUAUUCACCGGUUGACUGAAGCAAAAAAAAGUGAUGGAAAGAAGAGUAGAAGGGUAGAAGGUAGGGAGGAAUAACAGACAAAAGAGGAAGCGAAGAAAAACUGGAUAAGAGAUGCAACGAAACGACGAGGGAAACCGUUUUCUUUAAAAAAGAUUGAAAGUGAAGGAAAAAAUACGAUUAAUGACAAAUUAAAAUCAUUAUUCUACAUAUGAUAAUAAAAGCGUUGAUUCAUCGAUAUAAACAUCUUCAUUAACCAAGCAAAUAUUUAUUCGAGAAUAUUAUAUAAAUCAUUUUUAUUAUCAUUCAAUCUUUUUUUAAAUUAAAUUAAAAAAAAAAGCAUUCAUUUAAAUAAACAUAUACAUACGUUAUUAACACAUCAUGCACAUCAAUUACUUUGCAAAAUGUCGAAACUCGUAAAACUUGACCCAAAUCGAGAUGAAAGAUUAUAAAAAUUUCAUGUUCGUGUAAGCAUGCUCGUGUAAUACUAACGUUCCUGAAACACGUGCUAUUUUCUCCUCUUGGUUUCGUUAGCCUGCACCUGCCGGUACAAUAAUUGGAGGAAGCACAUUCACGUGUUUUCAAAUGGGAAAAAAAAAAAAAA
Apis mellifera (honey bee) is the source of this 3895-nucleotide RNA transcript. RefSeq lists it as uncharacterized. The transcript is spliced from 3 exons. NCBI's taxonomy places the organism in Eukaryota, Metazoa, Arthropoda, Insecta, Hymenoptera, Apidae. The record is from RefSeq and is a predicted model, not a curated record.